This 254-nucleotide ribosomal RNA is filed under the name uncultured prokaryote. RNAcentral describes it as "partial 16S ribosomal RNA". It matches the Rfam family "Bacterial small subunit ribosomal RNA", at positions 524 to 776 of the family's 1533-position model. The record is from RNAcentral.
UACGGGGGGAGCAAGCGUUGUUCGGAUUUACUGGGCGUAAAGGGCGCGUAGGCGGCCACCGCAAGUCGGUUGUGAAAUCUCCGGGCUUAACCCGGAAAGGUCAAUCGAUACUGCGGGGCUAGAGUACAGAAGGGGCAACUGGAAUUCUCGGUGUAGCGGUGAAAUGCGUAGAUAUCUGGAGGAACACCGGUGGCGAAAGCGGCUCACUGGACCUGAUCUGACACUGAGGUGCGAAAGCUAGGGUAGCAAACGGG